Bos taurus (domestic cattle) is the source of this 3220-nucleotide long non-coding RNA. The record is from Ensembl. NCBI's taxonomy places the organism in Eukaryota, Metazoa, Chordata, Mammalia, Artiodactyla, Bovidae.
UAACAUCUUCCAUUUGAAGAGGAUAUUAGUUCUGUAAAGAGCGCAAAGGCCCGAGUGUGGGAAGAGAUAAGCUAAGCCUGAGGGCAGAAGACCUUGAAUACUAAGCCAAGGAAUUUGUAUUUUACUUGCUGAAUUUUUACAAUGCUGCAUCCAGCGUGUCCUUAAGUCAGUACAUCCAAAUACAAAGCCCCGCCAUGGCCGGGUCGAGCUGCAGCUCCACCAUCUUGGGCCGCCGCCGCCGCCGCCGCCGCCGCUUGCUGCCCGCGCGCCGCCGGGCCGGCCCAUCUCUCGGCAGGGCGAUCUCUUAUUUUAGAUGAGAAACUGAGGCUUCAAGUGUUUUUCAGAAAUUGCUCAAAGAAUCGAUGAGAGUGGGAUUCCAAUGGCAGCUUUCUAAUAUAAUGUGCUGACUCCUAGAGCUGUUCUGGAAGGUGCUGGAAAGUGCUACUGGAAACAAAAAUGUUAAGUCAUAAUUGAUUCCUGCCCCCCCAGGAAAUGAUAGUCCAGUGAGGCAGGCAAGCACACAGAAAUCCACCCCAACUGGAGUAGGGUACCAGGAGAAUAGACCACAUAACCUGUCAAAAUUCAACUCAAAUAUCCCAUUUCCUGAGAGCCACUCCACAGAUUCUAAUCAAAGAACUAUUAUGUGUCUUAUGCUAAAGUGCUCUAUACUCUAAUCAGACCACAUAUUUUAGCAAUUUAAUGUACUAGUAGAAAAUAGUAUUAGAUGUAACAUUAACAGGCUAUGUUUUCAUUCACUAUAUAUUUAUUCUAGGAGUAAUCCUUGAAUGUGUACUAAAUUCUAGCUUCCUCCCUAGGUGUCAAGAAUAUAAAUGCAAAUAUGAUGUGAAUCUUGACCUCCAGGGUCUUAGAAUUGGUUUAAUGACUUUGUAAGAGCACAUUGUAUAAUUCUAACCAUCUAUAAUCCUUUAUUGGGGCUUCCCUGGUGACUUGGGGAUAAAGAAUCCACCUGCCAAUGAAGGACAUGUGUGGUUCAAUCCCUGGAUUGGGAAGAUCCCCCCAAGGAGGAAUGGCAACCCAUUCCAGUACUCUUGCCUGGAGAAUUUCAUGGACAGAGGAGCCUGGAGAGCUACAGUCCAUGGGGUCACAAAGAGUUGGAUAGAACUUAACAUCUAAACAACAACAACAAAUCCUGUUUCAGGGGGCUCUGGGCUGCAUUUCUUAACUAGCUCAUGGAAUUCUCACUUUUCCAGGCAUGUGGACGGUAUGCAGAGAGUUCUCACCAACUGGGAAUAAUACUCCAUUGCUGGAUUAAUUCAGUGGACACAUGAGAAUGAAGAAGGUCAAGGGAAUCACCCUGUUGUCUGGAACAUAACCACUGAUGGGACUUUUCUUGGUAUGCAUUUGGGUAGGAAAGUGUAAACAAAAACAUAAGAUGAUGAAUUUCAUCUGCUAUAACCAGGCUCUCCCUGAACGAUGCAUCACCCCUUACCACUCUCUCGCUGCUUCCCUUCCUGGCUUAUGUGAUAGAAGAGGACAGUUUACUGUGGACCUUGCAGGUGGAUAUCUGCAUCUGAAUCCCAGUUUUGCUACCAAGAAACAAGUUGCUUUAUCUCUGUGAACCUCACUCACCAUCUUCAUCUAUGGAAUGGAAGUGAUCAUAAUCCUGCAGCAAUGCCCUUGCUUGGGACCAUUAAAAAGUUAAUUAAAGGGCCAGCCACCAAUCUUGGACUUCCCUGGUGUUUCAGUGGUCAAGAAUCCUCCUGCCACUUAAAAAACUGGAAACAGAACUGCCUUAUGAUCCAGCAAUCCCACUGCUGAGCAUACACACUGAGGAAACCAGAAUUGAAAGAGACACAUGUACCCCAGUGUUCAUCGCAGCACUGUUUAAAAUAGCCAGGACGUGGAAGCAACCUAGAUGUCCAUCAGCAGAUGAAUGGAUAAGAAAGCUGUGGUACAUAUACACAAUGGAGUAUUACUCAGCCAUUAAAAAGAAUACAUUUGAAUCAGUUCUAAUGAGGUGGAUGAAACUGGAACCUAUUAUACAGAGUGAAGUAAGCCAGAAAGAAAAACACCAAUACAGUAUACUAAUGCAUAUAUAUUGGAGAAGGCAAUGGCACCCCAUUCCAGUACUUUUGCCUAGAAAAUCCCAUGGAUGGAGGAGCCUGGUAGGCUGCAGUCCAUGGGGUCGCUAGAGUUGGACACGACUGAGUGACUUCACUUUCACGCAUUGGAGAAGGAAAUGGCAACCCACUCCAGUGUUCUUGCCUGGAGAAUCCCAGGGAUGGGGAAGCCUGGUGGGCUGCCGUCGAUGGGUUGCAGAGUUGGACAUGACUGAAGCGACUUAGCAGCAGCAAUGCAUAUAUAUAGAAUUUAGAAAGAUGGUAACAAUAACCCUGUAUACGAGACAGCAAAAGAGACACUGAUGUAUGGAACAGUCUUUUGGACUCUGUGGAAGAGGGAGAGGGUGGGAUGAUUUGGGAGAACGGCAUUGAAACAUGUAUAAUAUCAUAUAUGAAACGAGUUGCCAGUCCAGGUUUGAUGCACGAUACUGGAUGCUUGGGGCUGGUGCACUGGGACGACCCAGAGGGAUGGUAUGGGGAAGGAGGAGGGAGGUGGGUUCAGGAUGGGGAACACAUGUAUACCUGUGGUGGAUUCAUUUUGAUAUAUGGCAAAACCAAGCAAUACUGUAAAGUUAAAAAAAAAAAAAAAAAAAGAAUCCUCCUGCCGGUGCAGAGGACAUGGGUUCGAUCAAUCCCUGGUCUGGGAAGAUUCCACAUGCGGUGGAGCAACUAGGCCUGUGCGCCAUAACUGCUGAGCCUGCAGCUGCAAUUCCUGAAACCCAUGUGCCUAGAAUCUGUGCUCCACAACAAGAGAAGUCACGACAAUGAGAAGACCUCAAACCCCGAUGAAAAGUAGCCCCUGCUCUCCUAAACCCACUCCCAGCAACAAAGACCCAGCACAGCCAAAAAUCCGGAAGUGCUAGCCACCAGUCUGAAUAUCACCUUUUCUAUACAGGGCACUGGGGUCUUAGAUUACUAAGCACAGUUGAGACAAGCUGCCUUUGAGGCUUCGGUUUCUAAAAUUUGGUAGAAAGAGCCUCACCUUGGGGCAAUACAGUAGCCUCAUUUUUGGUUUUCUCUUUGGUGAGCUCUUUGAGGGCAUGACUAGCCUUUAUCUUGUUUACUUUCCAUUCUCAGAACAUUUCUAGUGCCAACUGAUACUCAGUAAAUGAUUGCUGAUUAAUAACUAUAUAUUUGGG